AUGAAUCACAAUCAAUCAAGCAUUGAUGAUAUAUUUCUUUCUUAUUAUUAUUACCAUUCACUGCCAUAUACAAUCAAUAAUCAUACACGGCAGCCAACCUCUCACGUAAACUUCUCAGAGAUCCUCCCCACAAAUCGUUCUUUCUACCUCCUCCAUGCCCAAAACUGCCCCGCGGGCCGCCUUCGAUCGCCCUUGUGCCGCCGCCGACGUGCCCCUGACAAGGACGAACAUGGUCCGGCAAGCGCGCCUCGCCGCCGGGUCCUGUCACAUCGCCACCGCCAGGUUUCGUGGCUAACAGGGCGGAGGCAGAAACCCGGGCGGAGUGUGGCUUCUUCGUUACCAGUUCUACGACCACUCACUGCUCGAGGAGAUGCUCACUCACCAGUCCUUUGCCGGCAACGUUGCCGCCUCAUAGCAGAGGCUCAAGUUCGUCGGGGAAGUAGCGCUCGGCCUCACCUUCUCCAACUACCUCUACCUCACCAACCCACCCGCAGCCCCGGCGCGCUCUCAAAGAUUCGGCCGCAAAAAUCCCCACCAAGAAGCUGGUGCACGUCACCGUGUGUCACAACCUCUACCUGCUUCUCCGAUGCAACUAUCCUCGCCUCGAUCAGUUGGUAUGUGUCCUUGGAUCCUCCUCCCCUGAAUUAG
This 648-nucleotide ribosomal RNA is filed under the name Triticum aestivum (bread wheat). RNAcentral describes it as "partial small subunit ribosomal RNA". Lineage: Eukaryota; Viridiplantae; Streptophyta; Magnoliopsida; Poales; Poaceae. The record is from RNAcentral.